CACCAGCGCCACAAGUAGUAGUCACGUUUAUUUGGUCUAAAGCAUUCGUAGUCGGUUUGAAUAGUCUUUUGUGAAAUUGUUGGACUUAAUCUAACAGCGUGCAAAAGAUACUGUCAAGCUAGAGGCCGGGAAGAGAUAAGAGUACUUUAGGGGGAGCGGUAAAAUGCUAUAAUCCUUAAAUGACUACCAAUGGCGAAGGCACUUAUCUAGAACGGGCCUGACGAUGAGGGAUGAAAGCUAGGGGAGCAAAACG
RNAcentral lists this ribosomal RNA (253 nucleotides) under uncultured archaeon. RNAcentral's name for it is "partial 16S ribosomal RNA". It matches the Rfam family "Archaeal small subunit ribosomal RNA", at positions 474 to 726 of the family's 1478-position model. The record is from RNAcentral.